GUAUAUUUUAUUGUUAUGUUUUCUGAAAGAAAAUAGCCAAUCCUUUUGUAAGCUUAACAUUUUAUCUUUCACGACAAUCAUCAUCUUCUAUCUGCAUCGUCAUCUACAGUUCAUCGUCCUUAGCCAUCAAGAACCGUCCCAUUAAUGGGUUUCAGUAGGUUGUGCGAGAUGUAUCUUCCUAAUGAAUCUCUGGAUCGAGCUUCAUUCGCGCCGGUUGUCUUAGAUUCGUCUCCUCCAAAACGUUACGGAUUCGUCAAUUUAUUGCCAUUAAGAAGCAUCUUUACUCCUUUGACCACCAACAAGCACCAAUCAAACAUUCAAUGCUUCUAAUUCCUCAUUCAGGCGGUGUUUAUCCCCCCGCAUAAAAAGGAAUCCAGGACCGUAGCUCUAUCGGUUCAGAAGAUCCAUCAAGACCCAAACUUUCCAUAUUUAUCAACACAUCCUAUUGCUUCCCAUAAAGUUUAGGUCGCUCUAAUUCUCUCCAUCAGAUUUGAAAUAGAUAUUUCUGUUUUUUUUCUAAUAUAUAUGAUUUCAGUCUGGUCGGUAUGUUUUUACUAUAUAUAUACUCGGAAACAAUUGCUUUUGCAGGAUGAGAGUGCUUUCAGAGUUUUGGUGAGGUUUUACAAGUGGUGAUCGUGAGAGAUCGAGCCACUGGCUGUGAUCAUGGCUUUGGUUUCUUUUUCUUCGCUGCUCCCAGUGUUCCUGUGAGAGCCAUAUUGCUCUAUGUUAAAUUGACUGAACGGGUUAUCGUUCGGAUUGGAGUCGAGUGGUUGGAUCUCAUCAUCUCGAUAGACGAAGAUUCACAGUCUGGAUCAUAACGCUGCUGCAAAGAAACGAUAAGAAACGAUGCUAUGCUUAGUUAAGAUGCAAAGAGAUCUGUAUAUGGUAUGAAAAUCGAGAAUUGAUGCAAGUGAUGCUGAUAAGAUGGACAUGUCAGUUCAACAGUGGUUCAAGGGUCCAGUGUCCAGUGCUCAAGGGUCUAUGAUGUGAUGUUAGAACCUAGGCUUGCAGUUUGAUUAGUUUUUUAUUUUUGGGUUCUGUUAGCCAUUGAUAGGCUUAGAUUGAGAUUAAUUUUAAUUAGAUAAGAGUUUUUAAAAUGCAGCUGAAAAAUACAGUUUAUGCAUUGCAUAUCACAGAAGCUUAUGAUGAUUUCGAGGCAGAAUCAUUCUUGCACGAAGCCAUCAAUGUUACUGCAAAACAUAGUGGAGAAGUGAGUCGUUUUUAUGAGAGAAGUGAGUCGUUUUCUGUUCCUCUUUGGCUGAAUUCUCAUGCCUCCUAAUGGAGUGUGGUUGCUAUGGAAAUGCAAGCUAAAGCUAAAGUUAUAAUAGAGCCCAUAAGGGAAAAUUGCAUU
Brassica napus (rape) is the source of this 1351-nucleotide long non-coding RNA. RefSeq lists it as uncharacterized. NCBI's taxonomy places the organism in Eukaryota, Viridiplantae, Streptophyta, Magnoliopsida, Brassicales, Brassicaceae. The record is from RefSeq and is a predicted model, not a curated record. The transcript is spliced from 3 exons.